UACGGAGGGGGCAAGCGUUGUUCGGAAUUACUGGGCGUAAAGGGCGCGUAGGCGGCCUUCUAAGUCGAACGUGAAAUCCCUGGGCUUAACCCAGGAACUGCGUCCGAUACUGGAAGGCUUGAAUCCGGGAGAGGGAUGCGGAAUUCCAGGUGUAGCGGUGAAAUGCGUAGAUAUCUGGAGGAACACCGGUGGCGAAGGCGGCAUCCUGGACCGGCAUUGACGCUGAGGCGCGAAAGCCAGGGGAGCAAACGGG
RNAcentral lists this ribosomal RNA (253 nucleotides) under uncultured bacterium. Its description in RNAcentral is "partial 16S ribosomal RNA". It matches the Rfam family "Bacterial small subunit ribosomal RNA", at positions 524 to 776 of the family's 1533-position model. The record is from RNAcentral.